RNAcentral lists this long non-coding RNA (426 nucleotides) under Oryctolagus cuniculus (rabbit). Its description in RNAcentral is "lncRNA (ENSOCUG00000038715.1)". The record is from RNAcentral. Lineage: Eukaryota; Metazoa; Chordata; Mammalia; Lagomorpha; Leporidae.
AUGGAGACCAAGGCCAUCAGUCCACAGUUCAGAGCGCAGAAACUCCUCCACGCUGUGAAACGUUCCCUUCAAGGAUUCUGGAAGGCAAAGGUGUCCACCUGGGGUAAGGAAAGCAAGCUCGGAAGUGCUCUGUUACGGGAUGCUGCGUUUCACCAGUUGCAGUGUCCAGCAAAUCAUGGCAUGCCUACAUAUUUAAACAAAAACACAAUUGUGUCAAAAAUUAAAGAUGAACCCAAGACACAUAAUGUGUCACUCCCACCUGGCAGUUGGCUUCCCCUGUAUGACUUUGUUGCACAUGAUCAGUGUCAGCCCACUGGAGAGCUGUCAUCUCCCUUCUCUCUCCUUGGAAACUUCCACAGGAAAUCAUGUUAUUUCAGGGAAUAGCAAACUAAUAAAUCCUGGCAAAUAAUUCUGACUUGUGUAAUC